CUCCGCUUGGUGUAGUUGGUUUGUAUGUUAACCCAAACACUUCCUCAACACAACCAAUAACUAACAAUUCCUCAGAUCACGUUCGACUGUAAUAGCAAUUGUUAUCGAAAGGUCCCUAGUUCGAUUCUGGGAGCGGAGA
Non-coding RNA from Plenodomus lindquistii, 139 nucleotides. The record is from the annotation of a GenBank genome assembly. Lineage: Eukaryota; Fungi; Ascomycota; Dothideomycetes; Pleosporales; Leptosphaeriaceae.